Molecule: transfer RNA, 87 nt
Filed under: Myxococcales bacterium
Lineage: Bacteria; Pseudomonadati; Myxococcota; Myxococcia; Myxococcales
Description: tRNA-Leu
Rfam family: tRNA
About the family: Transfer RNA (tRNA) molecules are approximately 80 nucleotides in length. Their secondary structure includes four short double-helical elements and three loops (D, anti-codon, and T loops).
Source: RNAcentral
GGCCGAGUGGCGGAAUUGGCAGACGCGCCGGAUUCAAAAUCCGGUGUCCGCGAGGACGUGUCGGUUCGAGCCCGACCUCGGCUACCA